This is a long non-coding RNA of Aedes albopictus (Asian tiger mosquito), 690 nucleotides long. RefSeq lists it as uncharacterized. NCBI's taxonomy places the organism in Eukaryota, Metazoa, Arthropoda, Insecta, Diptera, Culicidae. The record is from RefSeq and is a predicted model, not a curated record. The transcript is spliced from 2 exons.
UUGUUGUUGAUACAUGUUUGUGCUGCAGCUGGCUUGUCAUGACUGAACUGAGACAAAAUAAACACUUUGUUUUGUUGCAAGCCUGUAAUCAUACGAUAUAGGUUUGUCAUAAACGGAGACCGAAAUGAUAAACGGUGUUUCAAAGUGAUUUUCGGUGCUUAUUACUGGCACAGCGCAAACAGUCCUUUACUGGCGGAACACAAUGGUGAAGUGAACGUGUUGGGCCGAGGCUUCAACUUCGAGUGCGCUUUACGCUCGUCAGGCCCUUCGGCAUCAGAUAAUAUGGAUAAUAUGUGCUCCAAGCUUCCUUGUGAUAAGGGUCAUUUUGCAGCAUGCCGAGCCAACCUUUUGAUUAUUGGAUUUGUCGUAAGCGAGCUCACCAGUUCCUUCGCCAUCACACAUCUUCCAGCUUCCGCCACCGCACAUUGUUCAGCUUAACAGAACAUUAGAUGCUCCCAAGCAAGCUGCGACUUACAGUUCGGGAGCUUAUCAUCUAUGUCCGCAGUAGUUUUUUGUCGAGCGAUAGUUCAUAUGCUGUGGUCAACUACAGAGCAGCUGUAGCUCCAUAUGAUGAUAUUAUGAAUAAAUCACAUCGAAUACAAGAAUGAGUAAGUUUUGAAGUAAAAGAAAUUAAUAUUAAUAAAACUUAUAUAACAUACUGUUACUCAUAUCAGUAGCCCAUACCAGAAA